This 547-nucleotide ribosomal RNA is filed under the name uncultured archaeon. Its description in RNAcentral is "bacterial SSU rRNA". It matches the Rfam family "Archaeal small subunit ribosomal RNA", at positions 330 to 879 of the family's 1478-position model. The record is from RNAcentral.
GUGCAGCAGGCGCGAAAACUUUGCAAUACACGAAAGUGUGACAGGGCUAUCCCGAGUGCCAUCCGCUGAGGAAGGCUUUUACCCAGUCUAGAACGCUGGGGGAAUAAGGAGAGGGCAAGUCUGGUGUCAGCCGCCGCGGUAAUACCAGCUCUCCGAGUGGUGUGGAUGUUUAUUGGGCCUAAAGCAUCCGUAGCUGGCUAAGUUAGUCCCUUGUUAAAUCCACCGAAUUAAUCGUUGGAUUGCGGGGGAUACUGCUUGGCUAGGGGACGAGAGAGGCAGACGGUAUUUCCGGGGUAGGGGUGAAAUCCUAUAAUCCCGGGAAGACCACCAGUGGCGAAGGCUGUCUGCUAGAACGCGCCCGACGGUGAGGGAUGAAAGCUGGGGGAGCGAACCGGAUUAGAUACCCGGGUAGUCCCAGCUGUAAACGAUGCAGGCUAGGUGUUUGGACGGCCACGUGCCGUUCUAGUGCCGCAGGGAAACUGUUAAGCCUGCCGCCUGGGGAGUACGAUCGCAAGAUUGAAACUUAAAGGAAUUGGCGGGGGAGCAC